CCUACGGGUCGCACCAGUAGGGAAUCUUCGGCAAUGGACGAAAGUCUGACCGAGCAACGCCGCGCGAGUGAAGAAGGUUUUCGGAUCGUAAAACUCUGUUGUUAGAGAAGAACAAGGACGUUAGUAACUGAACGUACCCUGACGGUAUCUAACCAGAAAGACACGGCUAACUACGUGCCAGCAGCCGCGGUAAUACGUAGGUGGCAAGCGUUGUCCGGAUUUAUUGGGCGUAAGGCGAGCGCAGGCGGUUUCUUAAGUCUGAUGUGAAAGCCCCCGGCUCAACCGGGGAGGGUCAUUGGAAACUGGGAGACUUGAGUGCAGAAGAGGAGAGUGGAAUUCCAUGUGUAGCGGUGAAAUGCGUAGAUAUAUGGAGGAACACCAGUGGCGAAGGCGGCUCUCUGGUCUGUAACUGACGCUGGGGCUCGAAAGCGUGGGGAGCAAACAGGAUUAGAUACCCCUGUAGUC
Molecule: ribosomal RNA, 465 nt
Filed under: uncultured bacterium
Lineage: Bacteria
Description: bacterial SSU rRNA
Rfam family: Bacterial small subunit ribosomal RNA
Source: RNAcentral